GGGCAAUUAGCUCAACUGGCAGAGCGUUCCUUUGACGUGGGAGAGGUUGCAGGUUCGAGUCCUGCAUUGCCCA
This 73-nucleotide transfer RNA is filed under the name Anaerolineaceae bacterium. Its description in RNAcentral is "tRNA-Val". It matches the Rfam family "tRNA". From Rfam's summary of the family: Transfer RNA (tRNA) molecules are approximately 80 nucleotides in length. Their secondary structure includes four short double-helical elements and three loops (D, anti-codon, and T loops). Lineage: Bacteria; Bacillati; Chloroflexota; Anaerolineae; Anaerolineales; Anaerolineaceae. The record is from RNAcentral. RNAcentral also lists the same sequence under 1 other name.